This 1213-nucleotide long non-coding RNA is filed under the name Gallus gallus (chicken). Its description in RNAcentral is "lncRNA (ENSGALG00010029023.1)". Lineage: Eukaryota; Metazoa; Chordata; Aves; Galliformes; Phasianidae. The record is from RNAcentral.
CCGCAUCCAGCCUGGCUUUCCUGGCCCAGGUGUAGGAUGUAACAGGGCUCCUGGAGGCCGUUCCGUGCUCCAAUAGCCGAGAGAAGAGAUGUUUGUCCUAAUUAAUGCGGCUUCACCUUCAGCGUUGAGCACCUUUCUCAUCGACUGCUGAGUGUCCUGGGGAAUGACCUUGUGAAAAUGGUGCCAAACUGUGAACUGGAGUGAGCCCAGCUGGAGAAGGGCCGCUGCAGCUCAAUGGGCUCCAGCAAAGGCCGGGCAUCAUUAGAUUGGGCAGCCGGGAGAGGCCUUUGGGGGAUGGAGGGGUUCUCCUGGUUCCCAGUUGCAGUGGUACCAAUAAAAGCCGUCCAAAUCCCUGCCCAGAACUGGGGCUCAUUGGUGCUCAGUGCAGUGGAGGUGGGCUGGGCUCCCGCUGUGGGUGAUGGCUGUGCCCUGCGACCCGCUGAGCUUUGGGAGAGAGGAAGAAGAGAAAGCAGAGAAGAGGUCCCACACCGUUCUUCUGCUUCUAAACCUCAUGGGAGAGAGAAACCCAAGCAGUGCAGUCAGGAUACCCAAAUUGCCCAUUCUGACGUGGGUUUCUCCCAGUUUGGUGCCAGGUAUGGCACUGCUCUUCUGCAGCCUCCAUGUAGGCACAGCGCUCUGAGCUCCAUCCAGAACAAAAGAAACGCACAGUGUGCUGUAGGUAGAAGAGCAAACCACUCCAAUGUUCCUGAGCAUCCGUAUGUCCUAUCAGGGCUACGAUCCCUAUGAGCUGAGUGGUGUGGUGGCUAUAAAGAAACUCCAGCUGGAUUUUAAGGUACCGGAGGGCAUUACUUAUUGGACACCCCAUGGGAUACGGGAGGAGCUGAUUGCUGGGAGUGGCCAUUCCUCAACACAUCCCUUCCUCUGCGUUCAGAGCAGGCACCUUUACAAACACGACUGCAGGUAUUGCAUCUCCCCUGCGAUAAAACUCCCUUGCAGGCAGGAAUAACACUUACAAAGAGGCUGUUUCAGAGAUCAUCAGCUCUCUAUUAGCUCGCCUGCAAUGUGCUCCGCUAGCAGCAGAGUUUAGUCUUCUCCAAAUUACUGUAGAGGAUUUGACUGUAUCUUGCUGAUCCAUCCACAUUUUAAUUUCCUCUGCACGGAUACAUAUUGCAGGAUGCUGGAAAUCCCCAAGCCCACUGGAGCUGCACGACUAGAUGUUUCAUCCUGUAACACCAAUAAAAUGUUAAUGCAU